UGAGCAAUCUGCCCUUCACUUUGGGAUAACUCCGGGAAACCGGUGCUAAUACCGAAUACGACCACCGAUGGCAUCGUCUGGUGGUGGAAAGUUCCGGCGGUGAAGGAUGAGCUCGCGGCCUAUCAGCUAGUUGGUGUGGGUAAUGGCCCACCAAGGCGACGACGGGUAGCCGGCCUGAGAGGGUGACCGGCCACACUGGGACUGAGACACGGCCCAGACUCCUACGGGA
This 229-nucleotide ribosomal RNA is filed under the name uncultured bacterium. Its description in RNAcentral is "partial 16S ribosomal RNA". It matches the Rfam family "Bacterial small subunit ribosomal RNA", at positions 118 to 346 of the family's 1533-position model. The record is from RNAcentral.